This 545-nucleotide ribosomal RNA is filed under the name uncultured bacterium. Its description in RNAcentral is "bacterial SSU rRNA". It matches the Rfam family "Bacterial small subunit ribosomal RNA", at positions 777 to 1312 of the family's 1533-position model. The record is from RNAcentral.
AAUAGAUACCCCGGUAGUCCACGCCGUAAACGGUGGGCACUAGGUGUGGGCAACAUUCCACCGUUGUCCGUGCCGCAGCUAACGCAUUAAGUGCCCCGCCUGGGGAGUACGGCCGCAAGGCUAAAACUCAAAGGAAUUGACGGGGGGCCCGCACAAGCGGCGGAGCAUGUGGCUUAAUUCGACGCAACGCGAAGAACCUUACCAAGGCUUGACAUACACCGGAAACGUCUGGAGACAGGCGCCCCCUUGUGGUCGGUGUACAGGUGGUGCAUGGCUGUCGUCAGCUCGUGUCGUGAGAUGUUGGGUUAAGUCCCGCAACGAGCGCAACCCUUGUCCCGUGUUGCCAGCAGGCCCUUGUGGUGCUGGGGACUCACGGGAGACCGCCGGGGUCAACGUCGGAGGAAGGUGGGGACGACGUCAAGUCAUCAUGCCCCUUAUGUCUUGGGCUGCACACGUGCUACAAUGGCCGGUACAAUGAGCUGCGAUACCGCGAGGUGGAGCGAAUCUCAAAAAGCCGGUCUCAGUUCGGAUUGGGGUCUGCAACG